This 2877-nucleotide ribosomal RNA is filed under the name Microcystis aeruginosa NIES-4264. Its description in RNAcentral is "23S ribosomal RNA". It matches the Rfam family "Bacterial large subunit ribosomal RNA". The record is from RNAcentral. Lineage: Bacteria; Bacillati; Cyanobacteriota; Cyanophyceae; Chroococcales; Microcystaceae.
UCAAGCUAAUAAGGGCUAACGGUGGAUACCUAGGCACACGGAAGCGAAGAAGGACGUAGUUACCGACGAAACGCUUCGGGGAGCGGGAAGCAAGCAUUGAUCCGAAGAUAUCCGAAUGGGGCAACCCUAAACACGACCACCUGAAUACAUAGGGUGGAGCGAGCAAACCUGGUGAACUGAAACAUCUUAGUAGCCAGAGGAAAAGAAAGCAACAGCGAUUCCCCCAGUAGCGGCGAGCGAAAAGGGAACAGCCUAAACCAAGUUCUGCGGAACUUGGGGUCGUGGGACAGUGACAAAAGACUGGGAAAUUUAGACGAAGCGGCUGAAAACCGCACCAGAGAAGGUGAAAGUCCUGUAGUCGAAAAAGGAACCAGCUUAACUGCAUCCCGAGUAGCAUGGGGCACGUGAAAUCCCGUGUGAAUCUGCCUCGACCACGAGGUAAGGCUAAAUAUUCCCGUGUGACCGAUAGAGAAACAGUACCGCGAGGGAAAGGUGAAAAGAACCCCGGAAGGGGAGUGAAAUAGAACAUGAAACCGUUAGCCUACAAGCAAUGGGAGGACGAUUGAACGUCUGACCGUGUGCCUGUUGAAGAAUGAGCCGGCGACUUACAGGUUAUGGCAGGUGAAGGGGGAAGACCCCACAGCCCCAGCGAAAGCGAGUCUGAAUAGGGCGAAACGUCAUAAUUUGUAGACCCGAACCCGGGUGAUCUAACCAUGGCCAGGAUGAAGCUUGGGUAAAACCAAGUGGAGGUCCGAACCGACUAAUGUUGAAAAAUUAGCGGAUGAGCUGUGGUUAGGGGUGAAAUGCCAAUCGAACUCGGAGCUAGCUGGUUCUCCCCGAAAUGUGUUGAGGCGCAGCGGUAGUGGAAGUUUAGUCGGGGUAAAGCACUGUUUCGCCGCGGGCUGGGAGACCGGUACCAAGGCGAGGCAAACUCUGAAUACGGCUAAAAAAACUACCAGUGAGACGGUGGGGGAUAAGCUUCAUCGUCAAGAGGGAAACAGCCCAGACCACCAGCUAAGGUCCCCAAAUGAUAACUAAGUGAGAAAGGAGGUGGGAGUGCAUGGACAACCAGGAGGUUUGCCUAGAAGCAGCAAUCCUUAAAAGAGUGCGUAAUAGCUCACUGGUCAAGCGCUCCUGCGCCGAAAAUGAACGGGGCUAAGUUAUCUACCGAAGCUGUGGACUACAUUGUAGUGGUAGGGGAGCGUUCUAUAGGGGGUGAAGCAGUAGCGGCAAGCAGCUGUGGACUCUAUAGAAGUGAGAAUGUCGGCUUAAGUAGCGAAAAUGUGGGUGAGAAUCCCACACCCCGAAACCCCAAGGUUUCCUCCGCAAGGCUCGUCCGCGGAGGGUCAGUCAGGACCUAAGGCGAGGCUGAAAAGCGUAGUCGAUGGACAACGGGUUAACAUUCCCGUACCGAUUAAUGAUUGUGCCGGAGAACGGAGAAGGUCAACGUCAGCUGGAUGUUGGUUACCAGUGCAAGCAGUCGAGGCGAUGAGAGGUGGUGAAAACACCUGGAGCUAAGACGCGAGUCCCACCUCCCACGGGAGGGAAGUGGCGCUGAUCAAGCUUCCUAGAAAAGCCCGAACCACGUUAAUCAUUAAUUGCCUGUACCCGAAACCGACACAGGUGGGGAAGUAGAGAAUACUAAGGGGCGCGAGAUAACUCUCUCUAAGGAACUCGGCAAAAUGACCCCGUAACUUCGGGAGAAGGGGUACCCUCGCAAGAGGGUCGCAGUGAAUAGGCCCAGGCGACUGUUUACCAAAAACACAGGUCUCCGCCAAGUCGUAAGACGCAGUAUGGAGGCUGACGCCUGCCCAGUGCCGGAAGGUUAAGGAAGUUGGUCAGGAGUAAUCUGAAGCUGACAACCGAAGCCCCGGUGAACGGCGGCCGUAACUAUAACGGUCCUAAGGUAGCGAAAUUCCUUGUCGGGUAAGUUCCGACCCGCACGAAAGGCGUAACGAUCUGGGCACUGUCUCGGAGAGAGACUCGGCGAAAUAGGAUUGUCUGUGAAGAUACGGACUACCUGCACCUGGACAGAAAGACCCUAUGAAGCUUUACUGUAGCCUGGAAUUGGCUUCGGGCUUCGCUUGCGCAGGAUAGGUGGGAAGCUUUGAAACUCUCCUCGUGGGGAGAGUGGAGCUAACGGUGAGAUACCACUCUGGCGAGGCUAGAAUUCUAACCCUGACCCCUAAUCGGGGCGGGAGACAGUUUCAGGUGGGCAGUUUGACUGGGGCGGUCGCCUCCUAAAAGGUAACGGAGGCGCGCAAAGGUUCCCUCGGUCCCGUUGGAAAUGGGACGAUAGAGUGCAAAAGCAGAAGGGAGCUUGACUGUGAGACCCACAAGUCGAACAGGGACGAAAGUCGGCUUUAGUGAUCCGACGGCACCGCGUGGAAGGGCCGUCGCUCAACGGAUAAAAGUUACUCUAGGGAUAACAGGCUGAUCUCCCCCAAGAGUUCACAUCGACGGGGAGGUUUGGCACCUCGAUGUCGGCUCAUCGCAACCUGGGGCUGAAGUCGGUCCCAAGGGUUGGGCUGUUCGCCCAUUAAAGCGGUACGUGAGCUGGGUUCAGAACGUCGUGAGACAGUUCGGUCCAUAUCCGGUGUAGGCGUAAGAGCAUUGCGAGGAGCCUUCCUUAGUACGAGAGGACCGGGAAGGACGCACCGCUGGUGUACCUGUUAUCGUGCCAACGGUAAACGCAGGGUAGCCAUGUGCGGAGCGGAUAACCGCUGAAAGCAUCUAAGUGGGAAGCCCACCUCCAGAUGAUUGCUCUCAUGGCAUUAAGCCAGUAAGGUCUCGGGUAGACUACCCGUUGAUAGGCUCUAGAUGGAAGCUCGGUAACGAGUGCAGUCGAGGAGUACUAACCGACCGAGGGCUUGACCU